GACGAACGCUGGCGGCGUGCUUAACACAUGCAAGUCGAACGGAAAGGCCCUGCUUUUGUGGGGUGCUCGAGUGGCGAACGGGUGAGUAACACGUGAGUAACCUGCCCUUGACUUUGGGAUAACUUCAGGAAACUGGGGCUAAUACCGGAUAGGAGCUCCUGCUGCAUGGUGGGGGUUGGAAAGUUUCGGCGGUUGGGGAUGGACUCGCGGCUUAUCAGCUUGUUGGUGGGGUAGUGGCUUACCAAGGCUUUGACGGGUAGCCGGCCUGAGAGGGUGACCGGCCACAAUGGGACUGAGAUACGGCCCAGACUCCUACGGGAGGCAGCAGUGGGAAGUAUUGCACAAUGGGCGGAAGCCUGAUGCAGAAACGCCGCGUGCGGGAUGACGGCCUUCGGGUUGUAAACCGCUUUCGCCUGUGACGAAGCGUGAGUGACGGUAAUGGGUAAAGAAGCACCGGCUAACUACGUG
This 468-nucleotide ribosomal RNA is filed under the name uncultured bacterium. Its description in RNAcentral is "partial 16S ribosomal RNA". It matches the Rfam family "Bacterial small subunit ribosomal RNA", at positions 28 to 507 of the family's 1533-position model. The record is from RNAcentral.